Molecule: long non-coding RNA, 525 nt
Organism: Eurytemora carolleeae
Lineage: Eukaryota; Metazoa; Arthropoda; Copepoda; Calanoida; Temoridae
Exons: 3
Source: RefSeq, a predicted model, not a curated record
CGGCAUUCGACAAUACAUUUAAAUUUCUGAACAGGAGACCUGUCACGUGUUCCUGGGCUUAAUCCUCUAGAUCUCCAUCUUGAACUGUUCACCCAGAGAAAUAUAGAUAGUAAACGUUUGGCUGUAGUUGUAAAAGAAGAAGACCCUCAGAACGGUGGGCUUUAAACAGUUUAUCUAAAUCUCAAAUCUCACAAAAUACAAUAUACAUGGUAAACUUUGUAUCUACCAUUUAAAAAACUGUGAUAUUUAAUAAAUACCAUGAUUAUAUAUUUUCAGAAGAGAAUGUUCAAAUUGUUGUGAUAAAAGAAACUUAGAUAGUUUAAAAAUGGCAAGUUUAUGUGUAGCUUAUUUUUUCUGGUUGUUUGGUGGAUUUUUGGGUCUUCAUCAUUUUUAUCUUGGAAGAGAUAAACAAGCUUUUCUUUGGUGGUGCUUUCCAGGAGGAUAUUUUGGUGCUGGUUGGAUCCGAGAUCUAUGGAGAAUACCAGAAUAUGUUGCAGACUGUAAUAAUGAGCCAUCACAUGUCAG